GACGAACGCUGGCGGCGUGCUUAACACAUGCAAGUCGAACGGAAAGGCCCUGCUUUUGUGGGGUGCUCGAGUGGCGAACGGGUGAGUAACACGUGAGUAACCUGCCCUUGACUUUGGGAUAACUUCAGGAAACUGGGGCUAAUACCGGAUAGGAGCUCCUGCUGCAUGGUGGGGGUUGGAAAGUUUCGGCGGUUGGGGAUGGACUCGCGGCUUAUCAGCUUGUUGGUGGGGUAGUGGCUUACCAAGGCUUUGACGGGUAGCCGGCCUGGGAGGGUGACCGGCGACAAUGGGACUGAGAUACGGCCCAGACUCCUACGGGAGGCAGCAGUGGGGAGUAUUGCACAAUGGGCGGAAGCCUGAUGCAGCAGCGCCGCGUGCGGGAUGACGGCCUUCGGGUUGUAAACCGCUUUCGCCUGUGACGAAGCGUGAGUGACGGUAAUGGGUAAAGAAGCACCGGCUAACUACGUG
Molecule: ribosomal RNA, 468 nt
Filed under: uncultured bacterium
Lineage: Bacteria
Description: partial 16S ribosomal RNA
Rfam family: Bacterial small subunit ribosomal RNA
Source: RNAcentral